RNAcentral lists this ribosomal RNA (492 nucleotides) under uncultured bacterium. RNAcentral describes it as "partial 16S ribosomal RNA". It matches the Rfam family "Bacterial small subunit ribosomal RNA", at positions 29 to 507 of the family's 1533-position model. The record is from RNAcentral.
AGUGAACGCUGGCGGUAGGCCUAACACAUGCAAGUCGAACGGCAGCACAGUAAGAGCUCGCUUUUACGGGUGGCGAGUGGCGGACGGGUGAGGAAUACAUCGGAAUCUACUUUUUCGUGGGGGAUAACGUAGGGAAACUUAUGCUAAUACCGCAUAUGAUCUACGGGUGAAAGCAGGGGAUCUUCGCACCUUUCGCGUCUGAAUGAGCCGAUGUCGGAUUAGCUAGUUGGCGGGGUAAAGGCCCACCAAGGCAACGCUCCGUAGCUGGUCUGAGAGGAUGAUCAGCCACACUGGAACUGAGACACGGUCCAGACUCCUACGGGAGGCAGCAGUAGGGAAUAUUGGACAAUGGGCGCAAGCCUGAUCCAGCCAUACCGCGUGGGUGAAGAAGGUCUUCGGGUUGUAAAGCCCUUUUGUUAGGAAAGAAAAGAAGCAGGUUAAUACCCCGCUGUUCUGACGGUACCCAAAGAAUAAGCACCGGCUAACUACGUG